This 446-nucleotide ribosomal RNA is filed under the name uncultured bacterium. Its description in RNAcentral is "bacterial SSU rRNA". It matches the Rfam family "Bacterial small subunit ribosomal RNA", at positions 331 to 794 of the family's 1533-position model. The record is from RNAcentral.
CCAGACUCCUACGGGAGGCAGCAGUGGGGAAUAUUGCACAAUGGGGGAAACCCUGAUGCAGCGACGCCGCGUGAGUGAAGAAGUAUUUCGGUAUGUAAAGCUCUAUCAGCAGGGAAGAAAAUGACGGUACCUGACUAAGAAGCCCCGGCUAACUACGUGCCAGCAGCCGCGGUAAUACGUAGGGGGCAAGCGUUAUCCGGAUUUACUGGGUGUAAAGGGAGCGUAGACGGCAUGGCAAGUCAGAUGUGAAAGCCCGGGGCUCAACCCCGGUACUGCACUGGAAACUGUCAGACUAGAGUGUCGGAGGGGUAAGUGGAAUUCCUAGUGUAGCGGUGAAAUGCGUAGAUAUUAGGAGGAACACCAGUGGCGAAGGCGGCUUACUGGACGAUUACUGACGCUGAGGCUCGAAAGCGUGGGGAGCAAACAGGAUUAGAUACCCGCGUACU